This 245-nucleotide ribosomal RNA is filed under the name uncultured Actinomycetes bacterium. RNAcentral's name for it is "uncultured actinobacterium partial 16S ribosomal RNA". It matches the Rfam family "Bacterial small subunit ribosomal RNA", at positions 28 to 276 of the family's 1533-position model. The record is from RNAcentral. Lineage: Bacteria; Bacillati; Actinomycetota; Actinomycetes.
GACGAACGCUGGCGGCGUGCUUAACACAUGCAAGUCGAGCGAGAACCCGGGGCUUGCCCCGGGGAAAGCGGCGAACGGGUGCGUAACACGUGGGCAACCUGCCCCAGACAUUGGGAUAACUCCGGGAAACCGGGGCUAAUACCGGAUACUCCGGCCGAACCGCAUGAUCCGGCCGGGAAAGCUCCGACGGUCUGGGAUGGGCCCGCGGCCUAUCAGCUUGUUGGUUGGGUAACGCCACAAGGCGA